CCAAACAUGGGAAAAAUCCUUUAUAGAAAAUCUACUAAGCUUGAUAGCUCUUACCCGAAUUAAUCGUGAUUAUGGAACAAAAAUGAUUUCCUCUCCAGUCAAAAGAAUUAAAUAAAAUAAAAAUAUUAAUUUAAGUUAAAUUUUUCCCGAGGUUUAUUAGGUGCCAGCAACCGCGGUCAAACCUAAUCGCAGGUAAGUAACAACUAAAAAAAUAAAAUUUUCUUUUUAAAAAAAUUAAAGAAGUAAAAUUCUUAAUUUUUAUUUCCUAAUAAGAUAAAUAAUUCUCCUAUAAAACUUGGAAAGAAACUAGGAUUAGAGACCCUAUUAUUCAAGAGUUAAAAAAAUCUUUUUAGAGCAGUAAAAUUAAGCCUAAUUGAAACUCAAAAGCUAUGGCGGCUAUUAAGCUUUUAGGGGAACUUACCUGUUAAUUUGACAAUCACCAUGAUACCUUUCCUUUCUUUUGUUGUUUACAUACCGUCGUCAUAAAAUAAUUAAAAAUUAUUUUUAACUCUUAAUUUUAAGAAAAGGUCAGAUCAAGGCGUAGCUAAUAUAAAGGUCCCGGCGAGUUACAAUAAAAAAUUUUUUCGGUUUUCUUUUGAAAAAAGAAAUUAAGUUGGACUUAAUAGUAAUUAAAUAAAUUAUAUUUAAUUUUUGAACUACCAUCUUGAUAGUGC
RNAcentral lists this ribosomal RNA (674 nucleotides) under Odontocyclas kokeilii. Its description in RNAcentral is "partial 12S ribosomal RNA". Lineage: Eukaryota; Metazoa; Mollusca; Gastropoda; Stylommatophora; Odontocycladidae. The record is from RNAcentral.